Patella vulgata (common limpet) is the source of this 3269-nucleotide long non-coding RNA. RefSeq lists it as uncharacterized. The transcript has 3 exons. Lineage: Eukaryota; Metazoa; Mollusca; Gastropoda; Patellidae. The record is from RefSeq and is a predicted model, not a curated record.
GACAUGUAGGAAAAGUCAAAUCGUUUACACUGACAUACAGAGCCUAAGCUGUUCUAAAUACUGAAUUUGAGGGGAAUUGACUCAACGCAUACACUGAGAGAGAGAGAGAGAGAGAGAGAGAGGGGUAGGUUGGAAAGGCGACCCUAUUCCUGGUCCCGUACAGCCGAGGAAUCGAAACCACGUCAGUUGACUCAAUGACAGACCUUAUGAUACAACGCACACGCGCCAAUCAUUCAGCCACCCAACCACCCUCCCAAUUGUUUAACAGCCUUGUACUUUCCCCAAAGUGGACACAGAGAUACAUUAUAAGGAAUUUAUUUUUGUCUAUAACAGACUUUGUGUAAUUGUUUACAGGUCAGAAUUUUCGUAGGAAUGUAUGUUAUUUAUCUUAAAGAAUGGUUUGAAGUAUUUGAGUGAGGAGAGAAAGAAUAGGUCAUUUCAGGACUAACAUAUGGUUCAAUUAUAUUUUUAUAAUCCGUUUGUGCGUAGGGGUUUUAAGCUGAUUUUGUCAAGGGUUAUCCCGCGCGGGAUGUGAGCAAUUUCUGCAUCUCAAAAUACCUUGGCGGAUUUUAAACUGAAGAUAGCUAGGUCAAUAAACCUUGGCGGAUAUUAUACUGAAGAUAGCUAGGUCAAUAAACCUUGUAGAGAUUUGAUUCUUCAGAAAUGAAAUGGGGUUGAACCCAGUGCUGCACCCACGGACAAGGGAAUACCACGCCGGAAAAUUCCGGGAAACUUUCCAGAACAACUCCGGGAUUAAACACACGACGGCCUGUGAUGUAUGGUAUACGUUUCCAGUGUGACGUAUGGUAUAUAUUUCCAGUGUGGUGUAUGGUAUAUAUUUCAAGUGUGAUUUAUUGUCUAUAGUGAUGUAUGGUAUAUAUAGCUAUAGAGGUGUAUGGAUAUUGUUAUAGUGUUGUAUGGUAUAUAUCCAUAUAGUGCUGUAUGGUAUAUGUUCCCUUUGUGACGUAUGGUAUAUAUUUCCAGUGUGGUGUAUGGUAUAUAUUUCAAGUGUGAUUUGUUGUCUAUAGUGAUGUAUGGUAUAUAUAGCUAUAGAGGUGUAUGGAUAUUGUUAUAGUGUUGUAUGGUAUAUAUCCAUAUAGUGCUGUAUGGUAUAUGUUCCUUUGUGAUGUAUGUUAUAUAUUUCCAUUGUGAUGUAUGGUAUAUAUUUCCAUUGUGAUGUAUGGUAUAUAUUUCCAUUGUGAUGCAUGGUAUAUAUUUCUGUAGUUACCUACCAAAUAGAUGAAUCCCAGACAAAUGGGAACUAUAUAAUCUCAAGAUUAGACGGACCAAUUAGAUAAAUCCCAGACAAUAUAUCGAUAUGAAUCAUGGUUCAGACAAAAACAAAACCCAGACACAACAAAACGUAUUAACCCUAGUUUAGCUUAACAGAUGCAAUGUGUAGUGUUUUAAAUGUGCAGAAUGUGUAGUAUGGAUACAGUAUAAACACUGAUAUACUAUACCUGUAUAUACUAGUAUUUACAUCUAAUAUAUGCCCUUAAACAUUCUUACCAAUUAUACAUGCAUGUAUACCACCUACAUAUCUACACAGAUAACACUUGUCAACCACUCAACACAAUCUAUACCAACUCAGGACCAACACAUGUUAAAUCUUCAGUUCAAUCAUUCGUAUGGGAGAAACUGUAUUUAACACAUAUAGUAGUGCAAGCCCAAAGGUUAGGCAGGUCACCCUAUUUCAUGUCACGUACAUAUCCUUUUUUAUUCUUCGAAUCCUCUAGUCUAAUAAUAGGAGCAUCCCACAAAGAAAGCUUCAAAAUCUAAUUUCUGGUAUUUAGAUGUGUUUAAUUUCCGGCAAUGUGAUUUAUAAUAUUUUACCAAUUAUAAUGUCACAUCUAGAAAUAUACGUUGAUGCUGAGAUUGCGACGAUGAUCAUAUAGCAUAUUCCCCAAGUAAUGGUAACGCGUACUAUCAGAUGAUUACCCAUUGCCACAUUCAGAUGGUAAUUACUGGCAAAAGUUUUCAUUGGGAUACUAAAAUUGCGUGUAGAUUACUCAAAAUAGCGCAUACAACUUCUGGUGUUUACACUUCUCAAUUCUAUUUUAUAAAGCUUUUUCAGAAAUGUAUAGUCCGAACCAGUCUCAAGACAACCGUAUCAUGUCUGAAUAACAUAAUCAUGAAACACAGGCCAAGUUCCCAAAGAAAGUUUAACCCUCUUCUAAGAUGAUGUAGAACGAGGGUCCAAAGAAGAUAUAAUAAGUGGUAAAGUAGAUAAUAUUGAGAUAAUGAUGGUCGUUACCAAUGCUUCAAGAAUAUAAACGGGUGCUCAGGGUGGAAAAAAUACAUGUAGAAAGUGUGACAAAGUCGGAGUUCAAUAGAUAUUGUUUCCUUUAGUGUUAUUUCUGAUUACUAAAUGUGGGCACAGUGUUAACUGAUGAAACGCAAUAGCCAAGUGCGAAAACCAAGUUGGUCAACAUUUGGGAAUAAAAAUACAAGUUUGUAAUGAUUUACAUGAUGUAAAUAGAGAAUUGUAUGUAUGUAUGUACCUGCCAUACUUAACAUUGUUAAGAUAAGUAUACGUAGAUAAUACAUCAAGUAUGUGUUUUGUUGGGGUCAUUUGUAAGGAUAACUUUUACCUUUUUUUAUUUGAUAUCAGCCACAGUAUACCUCCAUGUAACUAUUUCCCCACGUUUCAUAGGAACCAUUUGAGAAUAAGACAAAAAUGAUAUAGAUUUGAAUAAUGACUUUGUCCGAGAAGACUUUUCAUAACAAACCAUAACACUUUCGGAAACGUAACCACAGUCGUAAAUAAAAAAAAAUAACAUUAAUAGUAUGCUAGUCUAAAAAUGAUUUAGGUAAGUAUGGAGGAAAAAUAAACCUUAUCCAUUCUUUCAGCUAAUUAUUAUAAAUUAAGAUCCCUUUAGACGGGCAGAGGGAGUCGGGGUUUAACGUCCACUCGAUACAAAUUAAGUGAUUUCCUCACUAACAUAGGAUUCAAUUUUAUUUCAAUAAUUUGCAGCUGGAAGAAACAGGAGGGCCUGGAGAAAACCCACGAGGUUGGACAUUUGAUCCUACUCCUUGUCACGUACAAGAGGGGAAUCAAAACUAAACCACUUGACUUAAUGGCAGACCUUCUGAUCUAAAGCGCAUACGUUAGACCAUUCGGUUACCCAACACCUCUUUAUCUGGAGGUGAGCGAAAAUAUGCAACCCAGUUGGUCUAACAGGACCAGGUGGGUUAGCAAGCUUGUUCUUUGGACAACUGCGCAUCGAUUGACGGACAUUGAUUUUGACUACUUUGACGGUCUGUUCGAU